Molecule: ribosomal RNA, 253 nt
Filed under: uncultured bacterium
Lineage: Bacteria
Description: partial 16S ribosomal RNA
Rfam family: Bacterial small subunit ribosomal RNA
Source: RNAcentral
UACGAAGGGUGCAAGCGUUACUCGGAAUUACUGGGCGUAAAGCGUGCGUAGGUGGUCUGUUAAGUCUGAUGUGAAAGCCCUGGGCUCAACCUUGGAAUUGCAUUGGAUACUGGCAGGCUAGAGUGCGGUAGAGGGUAGUGGAAUUCCCGGUGUAGCAGUGAAAUGCGUAGAGAUCGGGAGGAACACCAGUGGCGAAGGCGACCACCUGGACCAGUACUGACACUGAGGCACGAAAGCGUGGGGAGCAAACAGG